This 466-nucleotide ribosomal RNA is filed under the name uncultured bacterium. RNAcentral's name for it is "partial 16S ribosomal RNA". It matches the Rfam family "Bacterial small subunit ribosomal RNA", at positions 28 to 506 of the family's 1533-position model. The record is from RNAcentral.
GACGAACGCUGGCGGCGUGCUUAACACAUGCAAGUCGAACGGAAAGGCCCUGCUUUUGUGGGGUGCUCGAGUGGCGAACGGGUGAGUAACACGUGAGUAACCUGCCCUUGACUUUGGGAUAACUUCAGGAAGCUGGGGCUAUACCGGAUAGGAGCUCCUGCUGCAUGGUGGGGGUUGGAAAGUUUCGGCGGUUGGGGAUGGACUCGCGGCUUAUCAGCUUGUUGGUGGGGUAGUGGCUUACCAAGGCUUUGACGGGUAGCCGGCCUGAGAGGGUGACCGGCCACAUUGGGACUGAGAUACGGCCCAGACUCCUACGGGAGGCAGCAGUGGGGAAUAUUGCACAAUGGGCGGAAGCCUGAUGCAGCAACGCCGCGUGCGGGAUGACGGCCUUCGGGUUGUAAACCGCUUUCGCCUGUGACGAAGCGUGAGUGACGGUAAUGGGUAAAGAAGCACCGGCUAACUACGU